Molecule: transfer RNA, 72 nt
Filed under: Camelus ferus (Wild Bactrian camel)
Lineage: Eukaryota; Metazoa; Chordata; Mammalia; Artiodactyla; Camelidae
Rfam family: tRNA
About the family: Transfer RNA (tRNA) molecules are approximately 80 nucleotides in length. Their secondary structure includes four short double-helical elements and three loops (D, anti-codon, and T loops). Further hydrogen bonds mediate the characteristic L-shaped molecular structure. tRNAs have two regions of fundamental functional importance: the anti-codon, which is responsible for specific mRNA codon recognition, and the 3' end, to which the tRNAs corresponding amino acid is attached (by aminoacyl-tRNA synthetases). tRNAs cope with the degeneracy of the genetic code in two manners: having more than one tRNA (with a specific anti-codon) for a particular amino acid; and 'wobble' base-pairing, i.e. permitting non-standard base-pairing at the 3rd anti-codon position.
Source: Rfam by way of RNAcentral
GGGUGUAUAGCUCAGUAGUAGAGCAUGUACUUAACAUGCACCAGGUCCUGGGUUCAAUCCCUAGUACCUCCA